GUGCACGUGAUAUCCAAUCGAUCAAAUAUAGGACAUCAAAUCAAUCCACUAUGAAUCAAGAGUCAAGGUAGGAUGCUACGAUACAAUCGAUGAUGAGAUCUCAUGAUGCUUGACCUGAUCAAAGUGGAAAUCAGCAACUGUCCAAUAGUUAAUGAUCAAGAUCCGUUCAUCAGGAUCUAUCAAGACUAAAGGGUCUUUCUAAAAUCCAGAAAAUCUUAGAAGGGACAAUCCAAAAGGUGACACUUUUAGAGAGAGAAACUGGUAGAGAGAGUCUGAUUUUCUUAAAGAGAGAAAGUAAAGAGAGAGUGGAGAGAGAAAGUAAAGAGAGAGUGGAGAGAGAAAGUGAAAAAAGGGAUAGAGGGAAGAGAGAGAAUCUUUCUUUUUUCUCUUCUUUUUUUUUUCUUUCUUUUUCUUCUUUCUCUUCUUUUUUAUUUCUUUCUUUCACGAAACAGAGGACUCAAGGUCCUCUUCCUUUCUUCCUUAGUGGAAUAGGGGGGCUAUUCCUCCCCUUGUUCCUGAAGCUAGGAGGUUCUCCUCCCAGUCGAGGACUGCCAUGGCCGGAGGGGUAGUCCCUGACGGCGACAGCCGUCCGGGUCUGGUGACCGAUGACGGCCUAUGGCAGUGGAAAACCAAGAAAAUGCCCGGGAAAAAUAGGGGAUUUGAUAACAAAAUUUUUACAGAAUUUCUGGCAGCAAUCAUGUUUAAAAUCCGAGCUUAGGACCUAGAGAAAAUUGAAAAGAAGAUCAUCCGAUUGGGUUACCUUGUCUUCGGUAAAGAUUGGUUUGAUCUUUUGAUGGCCGCAAUGAGUUCAAUCACCGGUAAUCCAAGAAGAAAAAUGGGGAAAAGGGCAGCUAACGACAGGAAAUUUUUGGUGAUGAAAAACCAAGGAGAUUGAGGCCCUUAAAUAAACCUCUAAUAGGGAUGAAUUUGAAUUUGAUUUGAGCUUUCAUUCCUAAUGUUUUUAGGACUUUGAAUCCGAAAAGGAAGAGAACUCUUUGGGAGUUCCUUCCACUCGUUCUUCCCCUUUCCAUGUUAAUUCUAGGCUUCCCAGCACGUGCUUUGCAUGUACUGGCCUAAUUUUUUUUUUUGCUACUUGCUUUAAGAUCUGUAUGGGGUAUUACAUUUUCCUCUUAAAAAGAAAUUUCGUCCUAGAAAUUUUUCUUACUCAAGCCCUAAAAAAUUCAAUGUUACUUUUAUCUCAAGCAAUAGUUAUUCCUUAAUUUUAAAAUCUAAUCUUUCAGUAUAUUAACUUUCAAACGAAAUUAUUGUUCUGAUCAACUUGAAAAUAAUUCCGACCACUGCUUCUGCUGCGCCAAUCUGAUUCGAUACAUUAAUGCACUUGUAUCAAUCUAAGUUUCUAAGAUAUGUCAAAAUCAAUAUAAGCUAUCGUCCCAAUGUCCCUAGUAUCUAUCCAUUUAUACUCAUAUCUGAUUCUAUAUGUCAUAGUUAUCCACUUAUGCUCUGAUACUAUAUUAAUUGUCACACCUCCAAUUCGAGAUCGUGAGCCUAGGGGUCAUGGCAACUGCCGCAUAUUCAUGAAAAACUCUCUCCAUAAGUAUGUAAGGCAUCUCAACACGAUAUCAUAAAACAACAGCGGAACAAAAUUUAAAUAAUUAAUGUUCAACUUUAAUUCAAAUAAAUAAAUCAAAUAUCUUACAAAAUAAGAUUCCAUAACCUUGAAUCAAAUUUCAAUAAAACCUAAUUUAAAACAAAAUAUCAAAAUUCGUCUCUAAUUUACUCUCCCAUAUCGAAUCCCCAAAUCAAGCUAGUCCUCUAAAUCUGUAAAAACAGUAAAAUAAGAGUAAUGAGCUGGACAACCCAAUAAGCAAUGGUUGUCUUGACUAGAUAAUUCAUGUGAUAAUAUAAAUUGCAAUUAUCGAAAUACAAUUAUCAUUAAUCAGUACAUAAACAUAAUCCAAUUCAUUUCAAAAUAUGAAUUCAGUAAUAUCAGUAUCUUUCAAAUAUUCACAUACAUAAUCAUAUAUCUGAUUUUAAAAUUGAUCGUAUUCAAAAAUUCGAUUCAAAAUAAAUUUCACUAAACUUAUCAAUCUUUUACUAUGACCACACUUAUACCUUAUGGUGGGGCCAGAAUACUAUACUUAUACCCUAUGGUCGGGCCAGAAUACCACACUUAUAUCUUGUGGCCAGACCAUAAUACCACACUUAUAACCUGUGGUGGGGCUGGAAUACUAUACUUGUAUCCUGUGGUGGGAUCAGAAACAGAACCAUGAGCUCAAAGUGCCAAUGCAUAACCCCCAAUUGGCAAGGUUCAGAACAUAGCCAGAUUGAAAGUUUAAAACUGAUUCGUAAUAAAAUUCUUUUCAUAUUUCAUAAUUAAAUCAAAAUAUGCACAUAUGAUUUCAAAUCAGUAAAUAGUUACAAUAAUUUUAUAUCAAUUUUCAUUCAAAAUAUAUUUUCAUGAGAUUCAUAAAUCAUAUAUAAAUCAAUCAAUAAUUUUAUUCUAUAUGCAAAAUAAUAUUAUAUAAAUGAAAGAUCUAGAGAAGAUGGAUCAUUACUUACCUCACAUGCUCCAAUGGAUCCAAAUAAUUUCAAAAAUUUCUCUUUCGAAAUCUAAUACCCAAAAUCAUACUUUGAUCAAACUUAAUCAUAAUUAUUUUUAAAGUAAAAAUUCUAAAUCCUCAAAAGGCUAGCUGGCUAUGCGGUAGCGCUCGACAUCCAGCCGGUCAAAUAUAGAACAUCAAAUCAAUCACUAUGAAUCAAGAGUCAAGGUAGGGUGCUACGAUACAAUCGACAAUGAGAUCUCAUGAUGCUCGAUCCGAUCAAAGUGGGAAUCAGUAACUGUCCAAUAGUCAAUGAUCAAGAUCCGUUCAUCAGGAUCUAUCAAGACUAAAGGGUCUUUCUAAAAUCCAAAAAAUUUUAAAAGGGACAUAAUCCAAAAGGUGACACUUUUAGAGAGAGAAAUUGAUAGAGAGAGAAAGUCAGAUUUUUAGAGAGAGAGAAUAGAGAGAGAGUGGAGAGAGAAAGCUAUACUCAACAUCCUCUUCCUUUCUUCUUUAACAGAAUAGGGGGGCUCUUCCUCCCCUUGUUCUCGAAGCUGGGUGGUCCUCCCAGCUGAGGACUCCUAUGGCCGGAGGGAUAGUCCCCGACGGCGACAGCCGGUCGGGUCCGAUGACCGACGACAACCCAUGGCAGCGGAAAACCAAGAGAAUGCAUGGAAAAAAUAAGGGAUUUGAUAACAAAAUUUUCACAGAAUUUUUGGCAGCAAUCAUGUCUAAAAUCUAAGCUUAGGAUCUAGAGAAAACUGAAAGGAAGAUCAUCCGAUUGGGUUACCUUGUCUUCGGCAGAGAUUGGUUUGAUCUUUUGAUGGCCACAAUGAGUUCAAUCACUGAUAAUCCAAGAAGAAAAAUG
This 3369-nucleotide long non-coding RNA is filed under the name Elaeis guineensis (African oil palm). RNAcentral's name for it is "long non-coding RNA (EGUI_LNC050333)". The record is from RNAcentral. Lineage: Eukaryota; Viridiplantae; Streptophyta; Magnoliopsida; Arecales; Arecaceae.